RNAcentral lists this ribosomal RNA (113 nucleotides) under Chinchilla lanigera (long-tailed chinchilla). The record is from RNAcentral. Lineage: Eukaryota; Metazoa; Chordata; Mammalia; Rodentia; Chinchillidae.
GUCCAUGGCCAUACCACCCUGAACACGCCUGAUCUUAUCUGAUCUCAGAAGCUAAGCAGGGUCGGGUCUGGUUAGUAUUUGAAUGGGAGGUGUGAGAGAGGAGCGUGUGUACA